Molecule: non-coding RNA, 30 nt
Filed under: Mus musculus (house mouse)
Lineage: Eukaryota; Metazoa; Chordata; Mammalia; Rodentia; Muridae
Source: RNAcentral
UGGCCCUAUGUGUUUCAAGAAUUGAUCCCC